UGGGGAAUAUUGGACAAUGGACCGAGAGCCUGAUCCAGCAAUUCUGUGUGCACGAUGAAGUUUUUCGGAAUGUAAAGUGCUUUCAGUUGGGAAGAAAAAAAUGACGGUACCAACAGAAGAAGUGACGGCUAAAUACGUGCCAGCAGCCGCGGUAAUACGUAUGUCACGAGCGUUAUCCGGAUUUAUUGGGCGUAAAGCGCGUCUAGGUGGUUAUGUAAGUCUGAUGUGAAAAUGCAGGGCUCAACUCUGUAUUGCGUUGGAAACUGUAUAACUAGAGUACUGGAGAGGUAAGCGGAACUACAAGUGUAGAGGUGAAAUUCGUAGAUAUUUGUAGGAAUGCCGAUGGGGAAGCCAGCUUACUGGACAGAUACUGACGCUAAAGCGCGAAAGCGUGGGUAGCAAACAGGAUUAGAUACCCUGGUAGUCCACGCUGUAAACGAUGAUUACUAGGUGUUGGGGGUCGAACCUCAGCGCCCAAGCAAACGCGAUAAGUAAUCCGCCUGGGGAGUACGUACGCAAGUAUG
RNAcentral lists this ribosomal RNA (524 nucleotides) under uncultured bacterium. RNAcentral's name for it is "bacterial SSU rRNA". It matches the Rfam family "Bacterial small subunit ribosomal RNA", at positions 355 to 896 of the family's 1533-position model. The record is from RNAcentral.